UACGGAGGAUGCGAGCGUUAUCCGGAUUUAUUGGGUUUAAAGGGUGCGUAGGCUGUUUUGUAAGUCAGCGGUGAAAGACCGGGGCCCAACUCCGGAAGUGCCGUUGAUACUGCAUUGCUAGAGUUCCCCUGCCGUGGGAGGAAUGAGUGGUGUAGCGGUGAAAUGCAUAGAUAUCACUCAGAACACCGAUUGCGAAGGCAUCUCACGAAGAGGCAACUGACGCUGAGGCACGAAAGCGUGGGGAUCAAACAGGAUUAGAUACCCUGGUAGUCCACGCUGUAAACGAUGAUGACUAGCUGCCGGCGAUACACUGUCGGUGGCCCAGCGAAAGCGAUAAGUCAUCCACCUGGGGAGUACGACCGCAAGGUUGAAACUCAAAGGAAUUGACGGGGGCCCGCACAAGCGGAGGAACAUGUGGUUUAAUUCGAUGAUACGCGAGGAACCUUACCCGGGCUCGAACGGCAGACGACUUAUACAGAGACGUAUAUUCCCUUCGGGGCGUCUGUCGAGGUGCUGCAUGGUU
RNAcentral lists this ribosomal RNA (523 nucleotides) under uncultured bacterium. RNAcentral's name for it is "bacterial SSU rRNA". It matches the Rfam family "Bacterial small subunit ribosomal RNA", at positions 524 to 1050 of the family's 1533-position model. The record is from RNAcentral.